UACGUAGGCAGCGAGCGUUGUUCGGAGUUACUGGGCGUAAAGGGUGUGUAGGCGAUCUUUUAAGUUUGGUGUGAAAUCUCCCGGCUUAACCGGGAGGGUGCGCCGAAUACUGAGGGACUAGAGUGCGGAAGGGGCAAUCGGAAUUCUUGGUGUAGCGGUGAAAUGCGUAGAUAUCAAGAGGAACACCUGAGGUGAAGACGGGUUGCUGGGCCGACACUGACGCUGAGUGCGCGAAAGCCAGGGGAGCAAACGGG
This 254-nucleotide ribosomal RNA is filed under the name uncultured bacterium. RNAcentral describes it as "partial 16S ribosomal RNA". It matches the Rfam family "Bacterial small subunit ribosomal RNA", at positions 524 to 776 of the family's 1533-position model. The record is from RNAcentral.